CCCGUCACACGUCACGAAACGUGGCCGUACUAGAAGUCCGGUCGUAGCUAACUCGCAAGAGAGGCAGCCGCCCAAGGUACAGCUCAUGAUUGGGGUG
Molecule: ribosomal RNA, 97 nt
Filed under: uncultured bacterium
Lineage: Bacteria
Description: partial 16S ribosomal RNA
Source: RNAcentral